RNA transcript from Solanum tuberosum (potato), 1351 nucleotides. It is a transcript of the gene named isoflavone reductase-like protein, with no coding region annotated. The record is from RefSeq and is a predicted model, not a curated record. Lineage: Eukaryota; Viridiplantae; Streptophyta; Magnoliopsida; Solanales; Solanaceae. The transcript has 6 exons.
UGUUUUAUACACAAAACAACACAACUAAUAAAUUCUUGAGAAAGUUCUUUAAUUUCAACUCAAAAUCUUUAAGUUUUAUUUUAUCAAAUGGCUGAUAAAAGCAAAGUUUUGAUCAUUGGAGGAACAGGGUAUAUUGGAAAAUUUGUAGUGGAAGCAAGUGCAAAAUCUGGACACCCAACUUGUGCUUUAGUUAGAGAGACCACAAUUUCUGAUCCUGUUAAGGGCAAAAUUGUUGAAAAUUUCAAGAAUUUGGGUGUCACUAUUAUUAAUGGUGAUUUGUAUGAUCAUGAGAGUUUGUUGAAGGCUAUAAAACAAGUGGAUGUGGUGAUAUCAACUGUUGGUGAUGCGCAAUUGGCUGAUCAAUUUAAAAUCGUUGAUGCUAUCAAAGAAGCUGGCAAUAUUAAGAGGUUCUUCCCUUCGGAGUUUGCUAUGGAUGUCGAUAGAAUUAUCAAUGCUGUGGAGCCAGUAAAGUCUACAUUUGCUGCGCAAGCCAAAACCCGAAGAGCUAUUGAGGCUGCAGAAAUUCCCUAUACUUACGUCUCAUGUAACUAUUUUGCUGGUUGUUUCUUACCAAAUUUGGUCCAGACAGGAGCCACUGCUCCUCCUCGAGACAAAGUCAUCAUUCCUGGAGAUGGGAAUGUUAAGGCUGUAUUCAAUGAAGAACAUGACAUUGGCACCUACACCAUUAAGGCUGUUGAUGACCCGAGAACGUUGAACAAGUCCCUUUACAUCAGGCCUCCCAAGAACACCUUAUCGUUCAACGAGCUUGUGGCUAUAUGGGAGAAACUGAUUGGUAAAACUCUCGAGAAAAUCUACGUUCCAGGGGAGCAAAUUCUCAAAGACAUCCAGCCAUCUGUAACGCUAAUCAAUUACAUGCUAUCAGUCAACCACUCAACAUUCGUGAACGGUGAUCAUACCAAUUUUGAGAUUGAGCCAUCGUUUGGGGUUGAGGCAUCUGAAGUUUAUCCAGAUGUUAAGUACACCACCGUGGAGGAGUACCUUAGUCACGUUGUCUAAACUACACGUUUGAUGUCUUCGAUAACUCGAAUAAACUGUUAGAUGAUGAGUGUUGUCAGACAUUUUGUCUGGAAGUAUGAGUACUUGUUAACUAUGUCAUCAGAGACGGGUUGAAUGAUAGCUCUAGGUCUAAAAUUGGAUAGACAGCUCCCAUUCUAACAAGACAUGAAGCAAUGUGGACACCAAGGAAAUCAAAGAGCAAUACAAAAGUUUGAACACAUGUAAAAUCAAAGUUGCAUCACUCCUUACAAUUACUAGAUGAAAAAAAUACUUAGGCUACAAAUGAUAUGUAUAUGCUAGAUGUAUUUAAUUUUACGGUGGUUUGAUUUUAUUA